AAACAAUAUAAAAUUUAUCCUUCAUGAUUUCUAUGGUCUGUUAGUUCACUGAUGAAGCUGCUGGAACGAAGAAGCUGGAAUGAAGUUAAACCAGAUACCCCAUCUUCAAGCCUUGAACAUGUAAUCUCUGGCCCAGAAACCAAAGCUCUGACCACUAUGUAUUUAAUCUAUAUGGGUUCUUAGGGUGAGGCAUGCCAGUGGACCUGAGAUGGACAUGUUGGUUACACCAAGACGCAUAAAAGUUGUUCGAGGAUGGCCUCUUAAACUGAGGAAGACGAAAGGAACUUCAGGGGUUGGCAAAAGCAUACAAUUUUCGAGACUCUAGCAUAUAUUAUACUAUUAACAGUGACGUUUACGAACAAUUUUGGAAAAAGAAAUUAUCUUUAAAAAACUUAUGUUCGACAUUUUGUGUGCUGGAUAUUUUAUUUACAUUAUGCCUGGUAGCAGAAGUAACAGAAUAUUAAAAGGAAUUGUAAGAAAAAAGUUGGUGAAACCUUGGCAUUCACAUACACCUCAUGCUCACAAGUUAACUUACUUUUGCCCCGUUAAGCAUCUGGCGCAGUUGGUCGUUUCUUUGCUGUGAGAUCUUUCUAGAAGUUAGAAGAAACACUUAUUCUAAAAUGCGCCCAUUUGAACUACGUUGUAUUUAUACAAAGCAGCCUCUUCUACCAAUAUUGCUUGUGGCACAUUACAUUAUAUUUUUUAUCAUUGUAUCAGUAAAUACAACUUCAGUAAAAAACAUUGCCAAUAAAUUUUAGCAAGAUUUCCAAAUUGAGUCCCAAAGAAAAAUGUGUUAAGAACCACUAAAUACAUGACCACAAGCUCCACCUUUCAACUUGUAAAUUUAAUUCUUCUUGAAACUUUUUGGCAAGUCUUUGUGUGGUUGAAUCUUUCCAUUCAUUCAUUGUUUUUUGAAGAUGUUGCAAUUCAUUAUCCUUGUCCGUUAACUUUGUUCUGGAAUAAAAAAUUGUCGUAAAUACAACAUAUUUG
Ciona intestinalis (vase tunicate) is the source of this 990-nucleotide non-coding RNA. The record is from RefSeq and is a predicted model, not a curated record. NCBI's taxonomy places the organism in Eukaryota, Metazoa, Chordata, Ascidiacea, Phlebobranchia, Cionidae.